Clupea harengus (Atlantic herring) is the source of this 688-nucleotide long non-coding RNA. The record is from Ensembl. NCBI's taxonomy places the organism in Eukaryota, Metazoa, Chordata, Actinopteri, Clupeiformes, Clupeidae.
AGUGAGCUCAUGUGCCCAUUCCUGAAGAAUGCUACCUUAACCAUCGCUAACUGCCAAAUCAUCGAUGUUCAGUACUAUGUGAUGGUGGCUCUGAAGAUUUCCCGCAGUACAGACCUGGAGAUCAAAUUCCCUAUUUCACUGUGCAGUAUUCCUUUUGAUGCAAAUAGGCCAGCCACAGCAGUCCCACUGCAGAACCAGAACCCAAGCCCCUACCCAGGUCCGUACCCGAAUCAACAACCAGGUCCGUACCCAAAUCAACAACCAGGUCCAUACCCGAAUCAACAACCAGGUCCGUACCCAAAUCAACAACCAGGUCCAUACCCGAAUCAACAACCAGGUCCGUACCCGAAUCAACAACCAGGUCCGUACACAAACCAAUAUGUCGCCCCAUACCCUGCCCAGAAUCCAGGUCAGUACCCAUAUCAGCCACAGGGCACGGAUCCUAAUCAGUACCCAGCCCCUCACCACAACUAGAACCCCCUCAGUUCGAGGCUCCUCCACCUAAGUAAAUGUUCGGUCUGCUGACAGUAAGGCUACUGUCUUCUAAAUGGUUUCAGUCAAGGAGGAAGUAGACAAACAUUUUACAGAGUAGAAGAGGUCAUGUUAUAUUAGUUGACACCAGGUAGCUGAGGGCCCAGUUUGCAGGUAUUUCCUAGUUUCUGGAGGAGUUAUUGAUUGCAUAUGAAAU